CGGUAACGAAGGAAAGACUUUUAACUCUUCUUGCAAUACUGAUCAUCGCCGAAGUAAUUAUGAGAGUGAUGACUGUAAACAACUUUGUUAUUCCCUUCCAAGUACAUCUUCUAAUUAUUUGUAUACUUGUCCUUCCUGCAAUGUUAUUUAUCAACUACAAGCUGUUUCUAGUCGUCAGGAAAAGUCGUAAAAAGAAAAGAUUAUCGCCUGAUAUGAAAAAGACGUUUUCUUUGAAAAAUAUAUCGAGUUGUUUGCUGGCAGUCGCUUGUGUUGUGG
Non-coding RNA from Paramuricea clavata, 276 nucleotides. Lineage: Eukaryota; Metazoa; Cnidaria; Anthozoa; Malacalcyonacea; Plexauridae. The record is from the annotation of a GenBank genome assembly.